CACUUAAUAUGGAUAAUCGAGAUUUCCACUUUCUUGAUUAUAAGCCUGGAACAAAUGGAUCAUGCCCUUUUAUGCAAGCAGUUGAGCUUACACCAUGAAAUAAUAUGAGAAAACCUGCCUACUUAUACUCUACUUUUCUUGUUUCACAAAUACAUCCUGGAAGAGGAUUUGCAUAAAAACUUUCCUCCAGCUUUGGAAACUCUCCAGGCUCCCGUAGAUAUGGAGCUCCAAUUCGAUCUUUGUGAAACUCUUUCACUUUGGAACUGAAUGUCUCCC
RNAcentral lists this unclassified non-coding RNA (276 nucleotides) under Hevea brasiliensis (rubber tree). Lineage: Eukaryota; Viridiplantae; Streptophyta; Magnoliopsida; Malpighiales; Euphorbiaceae. The record is from RNAcentral.